Molecule: ribosomal RNA, 433 nt
Filed under: uncultured bacterium
Lineage: Bacteria
Description: partial 16S ribosomal RNA
Rfam family: Bacterial small subunit ribosomal RNA
Source: RNAcentral
AACGAACGCUGGCGGCAGGCCUAACACAUGCAAGUCGAGCGAGCAUUUCGGUGCUAGCGGCGGACGGGUGAGUAACGCGUGGGAACGUGCCCUUUUCUGCGGAAUAGUCCUGGGAAACUGGGGGUAAUACCGCAUACGCCCUUUUGGGGAAAGAUUUAUCGGAGAAGGAUCGGCCCGCGUUGGAUUAGGUAGUUGGUGGGGUAAUGGCCCACCAAGCCGACGAUCCAUAGCUGGUUUGAGAGGAUGAUCGGCCACACUGGGACUGAGACACGGCCCAGACUCCUACGGGAGGCAGCAGUGGGGAAUCUUAGACAAGGGGGGCAAACCUGAUCGAGCCAUGCCGCGUGAGUGAUGAAGGCCUUAGGGUUGUAAAGCUCUUUCAGCUGGGAAGAUAAUGACGGUACCAGCAGAAGAAGCCCCGGCUAACUACGUG